This 376-nucleotide ribosomal RNA is filed under the name uncultured organism. RNAcentral describes it as "partial 16S ribosomal RNA". It matches the Rfam family "Bacterial small subunit ribosomal RNA", at positions 527 to 897 of the family's 1533-position model. The record is from RNAcentral.
GUAGGUGGCAAGCGUUGUCCGGGAAUUAUUGGGGCGUAAAGCGCGCGCAGGCGGUUCUUUAAGUCUGAUGUGAAAGCCCACGGGCUCAACCGUGGAGGGUCAUUGGAAACUGGAGAACUCGAGUACAGAAGAGGAAAGCGGAAUUCCACGUGUAGCGGUGAAAUGCGUAGAGAUGUGGAGGAACACCAGUGGCGAAGGCGGCUUUCUGGUCUGUAACUGACGCUGAGGCGCGAAAGCGUGGGGAGCAAACAGGAUUAGAUACCCUGGUAGUCCACGCCGUAAACGAUGAGUGCUAAGUGUUAGGGGGUUUCCGCCCCUUAGUGCUGCAGCUAACGCAUUAAGCACUCCGCCUGGGGAGUACGGCCGCAAAGGCUGA